Long non-coding RNA from Dreissena polymorpha, 4160 nucleotides. RefSeq lists it as uncharacterized. The transcript is spliced from 6 exons. The record is from RefSeq and is a predicted model, not a curated record. Lineage: Eukaryota; Metazoa; Mollusca; Bivalvia; Myida; Dreissenidae.
GAUCGUCUGCAUUGACAUAUGCAUUGAUUAUACAUCGACUAUUGGUUGCCAACGACGCUACUUUAAGAUCGCCGAAACAAAAAAUCCCUGGACCGAUUUGGGAAAUGUGGACAGUGUAAAUGGUGCCAUUGACAUGAAAAUCCCACCAGUCCAAUAUAUAAUUCAAAGAGAGCUCCCAAAAAAGAUUGCUGUGGUGCCUGGAAGCAGUCUACAUUAUGACAGUGCUUGCGAAUGCCAGUCUGAGUUGGAACUGGUUCUGGCAUGCUGUAAACCAGUACAGUAGAAAAGGGCAUGUUGGAGCCUGAUGCUGUGUUAAGCAGACAUAUGCUGAUUGUGCAAGAACUGAUCAUGGAUGAUUUCGGGAAGAACAGUUUGACAAAGUCUGUUGAAUUCUUCGUCAAUAUGGAUAGUAGGAGCGAUGGCAGUGUUGGUGUCAUAAGUGUGAACUUCAACCCUCCCCAAGUCCUAAUGGCCAUUCCAGGAGUGUGUACAAAUCCAACAAGUGCUAUCAUUCAGCUGGGGGAGAGUAGGUCAACUCAGUCCAUGAAACCUUGUGCCAACCAAUCAAGUGUUCCUGUGAGCUCUAAAACAGAAGCAUAUAUCUGCAGGUUAACAUCAUGAAAACAUCUAUAACCAGAAUCAGUUCAAGAAAGACGGUUACUUUGCAGCCAUGUUGGAGAAUAUUUUCCCAUCAACAAAUAUCGCAUACGUAGUUGCAGUUGUUUUUUUAAAGAGGAUUAAAUGUGUUACCAAAAUUUUCCUGAUAUGACAUACCUGUGAAGGAUUAGUUGCUGUUAUUUGUGUCAAAUCGAAAAAAUGGGUUUUCAAUGUCAAAUUAUUUGUGCUGAUUGUUAGAUAUUUUUGGAUAAAAAUACUUGAACGAUUGGAUUUAAAGUAUUGAAGGUGAGUAAAAUAUGAACAUUAAUGUUUUGGAGGAACCUUAAGUCAGUAAGAACACAUUAGUCCAAUUUAUGUAGUAAAGGAUUUCAUAUCCCAAAUGGGCUCUGUACUUUUUCAAUAACAUAUGAACAGAUUGUUUUUAUGUUUAAUUUGUUAUUUGAUUAUAUGUGUAUGUAUAGUCGUCAUUAUGGUAUUCACGCUUGAAAGGAUAAUAUCAUAGACUUUUGUUUGAUCCUUAUUUGACUUUGACCUUGUACAUCGUAUCUUGUUGCUGGUCAUAGCAAACAAUCAGAAUAUUCUACCUGGUGAAGAUAGAGAAAAUGAUUGAGUAAGCAUUAUUUUACCUUUAUGGGGUCCUGAAUAAUGCUGGCCUUUCUCACUAACUCUUGGUCAAAACACUUGAAAUCAAAACUUAGAAGUCAUGUCAUUUUAUUAAUUUCAGUGAUUGAAACACUGGUGGCAUAAAAAGCUGUUCAAAGUCACGGGCCCUGCAGGGCUACCAGCUGACAAUGUUAGGCGGCCCUUACUUACUAGGUAGUCACAUUGAAUUUCACUUUUUAAGAGGUACCCAUUGCCAGACAUGAUUUUCCUCCUAUUUAAUUGCUCAAUUCGAUAAAAAUAUCCCAUGGGCACACAAAUAGAUGUGUCAUUGUAACAAACAGAAACAGAUAAAUAAAUUGUAUAGUAGCAAGCAUCGACACAGUUUCAUAAUUAACUUCACACCAGACAUGAACCUGUUUUAAAAUAAACCCGAUCUGAAAAUGGGGGCAAGUAUUUCAGUUAUCAUAUUGGUUCGCGUUGCCUAUGACUUACUUGAUAAUUCAACAACCCGGGUGUUCACUGGACUGUAAAUUACCAAAAUUGUAGUUGUUGUUUCAAGCGGGCUAGGUGAAUUGUAAACCCCUGAACACACUUAAUCUGGUAAUGAUAAAACCAUCUAGUAUAUGAUGAAGAGUAUAAUAUAACUUGUAAACAUAGAAAGUCUGUGUCCUUUUUAUACGCCCGUUUUCAAAACAGGGUGUAUUAUAAGAUCACCCUUGGCGGGAGGCUGCGUCCACAGCAGUGUCUGCUCUCUAAUUGAAGUAGUUUUCAUCCGAUCUUCACCAAACUUGGUCAGUAGUUGCAUCUAGACAAUAUCUAGGUUAAGUUCGAAUAUGGGUCAUGCCGGGUCAAAAACUAGGUCACGGGUCACUUUGUGCAUUUCAAGCAUGGUGUCCGCUCUCUAAUUAAAGUAGUUUUCAUCCCAUCUUCACCAAACUUGCUCAGAAGUUGUAUCUAGACACUAUCGAGGUCAAGUUCGAAUAUAGGUCAUGCAGGGUCAAAAACUAGGUCACGGGGUCACUUAGUGCAUUUCAAGGAUUUAGCAUGAUGUCCGCUCUCUAAUUUAAGUAGUUUUCAUCCCAUCUUCACCAAAUUUGGUCAGAAGUUUUGUCUAAAUGAUAUCCAGGUCAAGUUCAAAUAUGGGUCAUGCGGGGUCAAAAACUAGGUCAUGAGGGCACUUAGUGCAUUUCAAGCAUUUAGCAUGGUGUCCACUCUCUAAUUGAAGUAGUUUUCAUCCGAUCUUGACCAAAUUUGGUCAGAAGUUGUGUCUAGAUGAUUUGUAGGUCAAUUUCAAAUAUGGUUUGCUUAUCAAGUUGUCCAAAACCUUCGAACAGGCGAAUCUUGUGACAGUUUGGCACUCUUGUUGACAAUUACAUUUCAGGCCAAAAUUUGUAAUCUAGUCAUAUAUGAAACAAUGAUGUGAUUAUUAAGGUUGUAACGCUUGUAUUUAUGUCAAAGGCAUUGAUACAGCAGUCACACAUAUUAAGCUAAGUGCUUGCAAUUUCCUAUUGUUCAUUUGAAAAGUCUGCAAAAACUUUGAUUGAGAUUGAAAUAAAGUUGCCACAAUUGAACUUCAAGUACACAUGUACCUGAAAGUCAAUGGUCAGAUAACCUUCUGCUCACCUAUAUGUCUUUUUAGAUAAUUGUAAAUUUAAACAAUCAGCGAAGUUUGUAUUUCCUCUCAGAUUCACCUGGGGCAGCUCAGACAAUUACCAUUCUUUACCUAGAUGGUGACGUCACUUCGUUACAGUAAGACCGGUGUGUACACAAUGAUGCAAUUACGGGCAAUAACCCAUCUAGGGUUACUAGAUUUACCGAAAGCGCGCUUUCGGUAUUGGUACCGAAAGCGCAAUAGAAUUACCGAAAGCGCAUUGGAUAUAUGCGUUAUGUAUACAAUAUAAGGAAAAUUAGAUACAUACUGUUAAUACAAAUGUUUCAAGCCACAUAUUAAAAUUUGAAUUGUUGAUAUUUUGAGAUACAUUUGCUAUAUUGUUGAAAUUUAUUGAAAUGCAAACUUUUUAUUUGAUUUAUAAAUGUUGUUCCAUCAUGCCAUGGUAUUCAUUAUUUACUUCAGUUGAAAUAUGUAUUACAGGAAAACGCUAUAAAUAGUUUUAGUUGUCUUUAAUAUCAUUUCGAUGUCAACAUUGCAACAUGUAACAUUUAACAAUACAGAACCAAUGAUAAGAACACAAAAAUCGAUUAUUGGAGUGUUAAAGGGAUCUUUUCACGGUUUGGUAAAUUGACAAAAUUGAAAAAAGUUGUUUCAGAUUCGCAAAUUUUCGUUUUAGUUAUGAUAUUUGUGAGGAAACAGUAUUACUGAACAUUUACCAGAGUCCAAUAUAGCCAUUAUAUGUAUCUUUUGACGAUUUGAAAACCUAAAAAUUAUAAAGCGUUGCAACGCGAAACGAUUAAAUAAUUUGGAGAGUUCUGUUGUCGUUUAAAUUUACGAAACUACGAAGAUUGCUUAUAUAAGGUAUAAAAUACUCAUACUGUGUAUAACCGGCAGAAUAGCCGAGAGGGUUAAUGCGUUUUUACUUCAGACUAACUCCAGGACUCCGGGCGUCACUGGUUCGAGCCCUGGUAGCGGCUACUUGUUUUUCCUUUUUUUAAUUUUAUUCUUGAUUUUUUACUGGAGCUUUUAAGAUCCAAUGUUUACAUUUAUCAAUAUAAAGCAUUUUAUGACAAAUUUCAAAUAUGCUAAAAUCUGUGAAAAGGCCCCUUUAAAAACUCCAUUAACAAUCCACGAAGAUGUAAACAAAUUAUAACGCCAGAGAACAGAUGAUAAUAAUAAUAAGGAUACCCAAACCUACCCAAAUCUUGUUAAUAAUAAUCAUGUUUGUGUGAUGGGCACUAUUGUUUUGUUUAUGCUUCAUCUUUACUCGUGACAAUACAUAUAUGUAAUUAUCCAAUAUAAAUAUAGAUUACACACCACUUUCUAA